This is a long non-coding RNA of Cebus imitator (Panamanian white-faced capuchin), 679 nucleotides long. RefSeq lists it as uncharacterized. The record is from RefSeq and is a predicted model, not a curated record. NCBI's taxonomy places the organism in Eukaryota, Metazoa, Chordata, Mammalia, Primates, Cebidae. The transcript is spliced from 3 exons.
UGAUUGCAGAGGCCAGCGAUAGUGAUCGCUGCCUGACAGACCCUGGCAAGGCAGAGGAGAAGCCCACCUUAGAACCAUGCUCCAAGGCAGCUACGGAUGGACUGCACAUAUAUUGGGAUUUUAAACAGGGGGGAGCUGUCAUAAACAGGGAUACCAAGCGGUGUCUGGAGAUGAAGAAGGACCCUUUGGGUAGCCACGUGCUUGUGCUCCAGACCUGUACCACGCAAGUGUGGGAAAUCCAGCACACCAUCAGAGACUGAGGUCGGACUAACAGCCAGUGAUCCUCAGACAGCGCUGGAUCUAGGACAUUAGUUCUUGCAAGUGGAAUGGCUUCUACUCCCAACUUCUUUCUCAGUGAGAAAGAAAGUGUGUGUGUGUGUGUGUGUGUGUGUGUGUGUGUGUGUUUAUGGUGACUUCAGGUGGGGCCUGUGCGUGUGCUGGGGUGUCUCUGUUGGAGAGAGGAGAGGAAACUCUGAUGCCUCGUUCCCAGCUUCCCUAGGAAGGUCAUGAUAUACAUCAAAUGCCAUUCUUGGAAACUUGAAAUAACCAGCAUCAUUUGGGGAAAGACAUGUUACGUGGGGAAAGAAAGGGGAGGAUGGAAGUUUAUCUUUGACUUCUGCCCACACUGUUUAGCCUUCCUUCCCAACAGCUACCGUCACCAUCUGCCCCACACCUCCUC